Molecule: ribosomal RNA, 253 nt
Filed under: uncultured bacterium
Lineage: Bacteria
Description: partial 16S ribosomal RNA
Rfam family: Bacterial small subunit ribosomal RNA
Source: RNAcentral
UACGGAGGGUGCAAGCGUUGUCCGGAUUUAUUGGGGUUAAAGGGUGCGUAGGCGGCCCGUUAAGUCAGUGGUGAAAGCCUCCAGCUCAACUGGAGAACUGCCAUUGAUACUGGCGGGCUUGAGUACAGACGAGGUAGGCGGAAUUGAUUGUGUAGCGGUGAAAUGCAUAGAUACAAUCAAGAACACCGAUUGCGUAGGCAGCUUACUAGGCUGUAACUGACGCUGAGGCACGAAAGCGUGGGGAGCGAACAGG